UACGAAGGGGGCUAGCGUUGCUCGGAAUCACUGGGCGUAAAGGGUGCGUAGGCGGGUCUUUAAGUCAGGGGUGAAAUCCUGGAGCUCAACUCCAGAACUGCCUUUGAUACUGAAGAUCUUGAGUUCGGGAGAGGUGAGUGGAACUGCGAGUGUAGAGGUGAAAUUCGUAGAUAUUCGCAAGAACACCAGUGGCGAAGGCGGCCCACUGGCCCGGUACUGACGCUGAGGUGCGAAAGCGUGGGGAGCAAACAGG
RNAcentral lists this ribosomal RNA (253 nucleotides) under uncultured bacterium. RNAcentral's name for it is "partial 16S ribosomal RNA". It matches the Rfam family "Bacterial small subunit ribosomal RNA", at positions 524 to 776 of the family's 1533-position model. The record is from RNAcentral.